AUUGAACGCUGGCGGCAGGCCUAACACAUGCAAGUCGAGCGAGCGGCGGACGGGUGAGUAAUGUCUGGGAAUCUGCCCGAUAGAGGGGGAUAACUACUGGAAACGGUAGCUAAUACCGCAUACUAUCGGAUGAACCCAGAUGGGAUUAGCUAGUAGGUGGGGUAACGGCUCACCUAGGCGACGAUCCCUAGCUGGUCUGAGAGGUUGAUCAGCCACACUGGGACUGAGACACGGUCCAGACUCCUACGGGAGGCAGCAGUGGGGAAUAUUGCACAAUGGGCGCAAGCCUGAUGCAGCCAUGCCGCGUGUAUGAAGAAGGCCUUCGGGUUGUAAAGUACUUUCAGCGGGGAGGCGUUACCCGCAGAAGAAGCACCGGCUAACUCCGUGCCAGCCGCCGCGGUAAUAC
This 406-nucleotide ribosomal RNA is filed under the name uncultured bacterium. Its description in RNAcentral is "partial 16S ribosomal RNA". It matches the Rfam family "Bacterial small subunit ribosomal RNA", at positions 30 to 526 of the family's 1533-position model. The record is from RNAcentral.